CUACCAUGCAGUCGAGCGGAAGGCCCUUCGGGGUACUCGAGCGGCGAACGGGUGAGUAACACGUGAGUAAUCUGCCCCUCACUCAGGGAUAACCGCGGGAAGCUGCGGCUAAUACUUGAUAUGACCACGUCUCGCAUGGGGUGUGGUGGAAAGCGUUUAGUGGUGAGGGAUGUGCU
This 176-nucleotide ribosomal RNA is filed under the name Nocardioides zeae. RNAcentral's name for it is "partial 16S ribosomal RNA". It matches the Rfam family "Bacterial small subunit ribosomal RNA", at positions 54 to 231 of the family's 1533-position model. The record is from RNAcentral. Lineage: Bacteria; Bacillati; Actinomycetota; Actinomycetes; Propionibacteriales; Nocardioidaceae.